RNAcentral lists this unclassified non-coding RNA (632 nucleotides) under Hevea brasiliensis (rubber tree). The record is from RNAcentral. Lineage: Eukaryota; Viridiplantae; Streptophyta; Magnoliopsida; Malpighiales; Euphorbiaceae.
AGAGUUCAUUGGCAUGACGGAUCCACCAUUUGUUAGACGACCACAUCUGCACUUAAGGAGCUGUUUGAUACUUCUCAAUCACUAUCUACCUUUUGUACAGAGCCACCAAAUCUUCAUUAAGACGUGAUGAUUCCAAGAACAAAUCUUCACAGUUGUUGAUAUCGACAGUCUCCAUCUCAAAAUCGGGCUGAGCAUAAUUCUCACUCCACUCGAACCAUAACUUUGCAAUAGACUCCUUUUUAAAACAAGUUGUAUGAUCUUCCUCCUCAGGUGAAUCUGAGGCCACCAAUCUGUAAGUGUAUACUUUCCUCUCCUGGCCUGGUCGGAAUGCACGUCCUAUUGCUUGACGGGUUACUGAUGGGUUGAGAUGCACAUCCAAUAUGAUAAUCCGCGAUGCCCCGACAAGUGAUAUUCCUUCACCACAUGCCUUAAUUGAACCAAAGAAAACACGAGCAUCCGGUGAAGUGUUAAAUCGCUCCAUUGAGGACUCCCUGAUGUCCCCGUCUGUAUCACCAGUGAUCAUAAAUAGUUCCUUCCCCAAACUGUAACCCUUAGUCUUAACAGUCAACCUCUCCAAGAAUUUCAAAGGCAAGAGGUAUUGGCUAAACACUAACAUUUUUUCACCUUUUGUU